This 200-nucleotide unclassified non-coding RNA is filed under the name soil metagenome. RNAcentral describes it as "partial contains internal transcribed spacer 2 and large subunit ribosomal RNA". The record is from RNAcentral.
GCGGGUCGGCUCCUCUCAAAUGAAUCAGCUUGCCAGUGUUUGGUGGCAUCACGGGUGUGAUAACUAUCUACGCUUGUGGUUUUCCACCAGGUAACCUUCAGCAAUGGAGGUUCGCUGGGGCUCACAAAUGUCUCUCCUCGGUGAGGACAACUUCUUGAAUGUUUGAUCUCAAAUCAGGUAGGGCUACCCGCUGAACUUAA